Long non-coding RNA from Haliaeetus leucocephalus (bald eagle), 1086 nucleotides. RefSeq lists it as uncharacterized. The transcript has 2 exons. The record is from RefSeq and is a predicted model, not a curated record. NCBI's taxonomy places the organism in Eukaryota, Metazoa, Chordata, Aves, Accipitriformes, Accipitridae.
AGUUUUGCACUUCUCCACAGCAGAAGUCUCAUCAGAUACAUUUACCUGCUUCCACCGCACAUUGCCCCAGUAGCCAACCUUUGAAAUCAUAGCAAGAACAAUUUGGUGGGUCUCCAGGCAUUCCGGUAGUAAGGAGAAAGAUGAGGAAGGCUGUUUUCUCUAGGACUGACUGCCUCUGUCCCUUCCCAGGGAAGCUGCCCCAGCAGUCCUUCUUCCAUCGUCUGGUGAUGAACAGGUACAGCAGAGGAGACAGCAAAGGACACAUCAUAUGAAAACACCAUGGAUGCUUCUCUGCAGUCCUGUGCCUGCUGAAAUUAUUAAGGUCCAUUUGCUGAGGGGUAUCCAGGGGGUCUUCAUAUUCUUUCUGGCCAAGGCGAUUUGUUUGGUCUCCUUUUAUCUUGGUCCACAAAGAGCUAUCCUACAUCAAAUCAAUAUAUCAAGUGGAAUCUGGCUGUGUUUUGAAAUGAUGCUAGGCAUGCUUUGGGUGUCAGGUAGUUUGGCAGUAAAUAUUUCACUACAGUAAUCGUCUUUUCCACAAAUUUUAUAUAAGACCUCGUUCCUCUGCUAGCACAGGCCUCAGUAACUGGCUGUUUCCAUCAACUAUUGCAGUUACAGUGCUCUAUCAAUCUUCUGACAUAGCUCAAUCCAAAUGAUUUGUUUCAAAGCUCAACAUAAAAUUUCAGUUAAAUGUAACCAUCCAAAAAGCCUGAAGAACCUCUCUGGGCUAUUAGUUACUCUGAUCUCUCAGGAAAACCACAGAGAGGAUCAGAUUGCUCAAGCUAAUUAGAAUUAAUUGUAAAAAUUCACUCCCCAGUCAGGCACGGCAGGUUUGGAGAGAAUACCCAUUUUUUCAUAUCACAGGUAUCGCACCCCUGUUGUAAAGACAAACUGUGACGCAAGUGUAAAUAGGGAGCGAUUCUAGCGCUCUGUGCCGUGCCGAAAGGGAAGGGAUUUCAAGCAGCAGCCUGUUAGGGGCAGGAGGCGGGGAGCCGGGGUGCACUACCCUCUAGUGUGCACCCACAGCAGCGCACACUGCACAGCAUCUCGGCUGGCAUCACUUACACAGGGCUACGCACAGAGGCACCA